GCAGUAGCAAAGCUGUCCGUUUUGGUUUCUCACCGUGGAAGCUUUGUUCUUUUGGUCUUUUGUAAUAGGUCUUGCUGUUGCUCAGUGUUUGGGUCUACAUUACUUUUGGAGCUGUGGCACUCCGCGUGAAGGCUUGCAGCUUCACCCUUGAAGCCAGUGAGACCAUGAACCCACCAGGAGGAGUGAAGGCUGUCUUGUCUUAAGUAGUCCUACCGGCUGUAACGGUUGUUGUGAAAGUCUGUAUCCUCACUCGUGAGCCAGCAAGACCAUGAAUCAACUAGGAGGAAGAAACUCCGAACAUAUGCGAACAUCAGGAGGAACAAACUCUGGAUACGCUGCUUUUAAAAGUUGUAAUGCUCACUGAGCAGGUUUGCGGCUUCAUUCUUGAAGUCAGUGAGACCAAGAACCCACCAAUUCUGGACACAAAAUCUGUUUGCCUGUUUAGAGGCAUACUACGGGGUUACAUUAGAAGCCCACCGAGAUAAUCCAAUACAAUCUUCUGAUCUCAAAAUCCUUCACUUAAUGACAUCUUUGGCAACUUGAAAUAAUAAUCACAGGUGUCUGACUUUUAAGGUGAGAGAACUAAGUUGUGUGACUCCAAAAGAGCAGAAACCAGGAACUGGAGAAUGGAGGACCAAAGAUCAGAGAACAAACGGUAAAGAAGGAUGUGUUUGCUCCCACUUCCACCAUGAUUGUAAGUUUCCUGAGGCCUCCCAAGCCAUGAUGAACUGUUGUAAAUCUCUCACUCCAGCAUGGCCCACCGUAUACCUGGAGGAAAGGAAUGUCCCUAUCUGAAGACACAGAGACACCAAGAAGAAUCCGAACAGGACUUGCUAAGUUCCCUCCUGUUUAUAACCAUUAGCUAAUACCCUUUUACCCAAUCAUACUUCUGCAUGACUGUUCAUGAACAUACACAGUUUUCCCUGUUUCUUUGGAUCUUAAUUUCUGAAGGUUCCCGGGUCACAUAAAGCUUGUUUUGUUCUCUUUUGUUUGAGACAAGGUCUCACUCUGUCAGCCAGGCUGGAGUGCAGUGGUAUGAGCAUGGUUCGCUGCAGCUUUGACCUCCUCCCACUGGGGAUCUUCCCAAGCAAUCCUCCCACCUUAGCCUCCCAAGUAGCUGGAGCUACGGGUGCAUGCCACCACACCAAGCUCAUUUUUAAACUUUUUGUAGAGAUGGGGGUCUCGCUAUGUUGCUCAGGCUAGUCUUGAACUCCUGGGCUCAGGCAAUCAUCCUACCUCAGCCUCUAAAAGUGCUGGGAUUACAGGUGUGAGCCACUGCGCCCAGCCCCU
Molecule: long non-coding RNA, 1290 nt
Filed under: Homo sapiens (human)
Lineage: Eukaryota; Metazoa; Chordata; Mammalia; Primates; Hominidae
Description: HSALNT0332779
Source: RNAcentral